RNAcentral lists this ribosomal RNA (617 nucleotides) under uncultured bacterium. Its description in RNAcentral is "bacterial SSU rRNA". It matches the Rfam family "Bacterial small subunit ribosomal RNA", at positions 8 to 640 of the family's 1533-position model. The record is from RNAcentral.
AGAGUUUGAUCCUGGCUCAGAAUCAACGCUGGCGGCGUGCCUCAGACAUGCAAGUCGAACGAUUAAACUUUUCUUCGGGAAAGAUAUAAAGUGGCGCACGGGUGAGUAACACGUAGGUAAUGUGCCUUUGGGUGGGGAAUAACUUAGGGAAACUUAAGCUAAUACCGCAUAAUGCGAUAACUUCUUCGGAAGAUUUUGUUAAAGAUUUAUCGCCUGAAGAGCAGCCUGCGGCAGAUUAGCUAGUUGGUAAGGUAACGGCUUACCAAGGCGACGAUCUGUAUCCGACCUGAGAGGGUGGUCGGACACACUGACACUGAAUAACGGGUCAGACUCCUACGGGAGGCAGCAGUCGGGAAUUUUGGGCAAUGGGCGAAAGCCUGACCCAGCAACGCCGCGUGAAGGAUGAAGUCUUUCGGGAUGUAAACUUCGUAAGAAUAGGAAGAAUAAAUGACGGUACUAUUUGUAAGGUCCGGCUAACUACGUGCCAGCAGCCGCGGUAAUACGUAGGGACCAAGCGUUGUUCGGAUUUACUGGGCGUAAAGGGCGCGUAGGCGGCGUGUCAAGUCAAUUGUGAAAUCUCCGGGCUUAACCCGGAACGGUCAAUUGAUACUGAUGUG